RNAcentral lists this ribosomal RNA (482 nucleotides) under uncultured bacterium. Its description in RNAcentral is "partial 16S ribosomal RNA". It matches the Rfam family "Bacterial small subunit ribosomal RNA", at positions 30 to 507 of the family's 1533-position model. The record is from RNAcentral.
AUUGAACGCUGGCGGCAUGCUUUACACAUGCAAGUCGAACGGCAGCGCGGGGCAACCUGGCGGCGAGUGGCGAACGGGUGAGUAAUAUAUCGGAACGUACCCAGAAGUGGGGGAUAACGUAGCGAAAGUUACGCUAAUACCGCAUACGAUCUACGGAUGAAAGUAGGGGACCGCAAGGCCUUAUGCUUUUGGAGCGGCCGAUAUCUGAUUAGCUAGUUGGUGAGGUAAAGGCUCACCAAGGCGACGAUCAGUAGCUGGUCUGAGAGGACGACCAGCCACACUGGAACUGAGACACGGUCCAGACUCCUACGGGAGGCAGCAGUGGGGAAUUUUGGACAAUGGGCGCAAGCCUGAUCCAGCAAUGCCGCGUGAGUGAAGAAGGCCUUCGGGUUGUAAAGCUCUAUUGUCAGGGAAGAAACGGUAGAGGCUAAUAUCCUUUGCUAAUGACGGUACCUGAAGAAUAAGCACCGGCUAACUACGUG